Molecule: ribosomal RNA, 245 nt
Filed under: uncultured bacterium
Lineage: Bacteria
Description: partial 16S ribosomal RNA
Rfam family: Bacterial small subunit ribosomal RNA
Source: RNAcentral
UACGUAGGAUCCGAGCGUUGUCCGGAUUUACUGGGUGUAAAGGGUGCGCAGGCGGAUUGGUAAGUCAGUGGUGAAAUCUCGUCGCUUAACGACGAAACUGCCUUUGAUACUAUCAGUCUUGAAUCCGGUAGAGAUCUGUGGAAUUCCGAGUGUAGCAGUGAAAUGUGUAGAUAUUCGGAAGAACACCAGUGGCGAAGGCAGCAGAUUGGGCCGGUAUUGACGCUCAGGCACGAAAGCAUGGGGAU